CGCCGCCCGGGCCCCGCUGGACCGGAGGCAGUCGCGGCCGAGCCGGGCUGGCACCGCCUACGAGGCCCCGGGGACCUUAUGGGAAAGGCUUACAUCACCAAAGCCUUUAGAGAAACAGUCACCUUCACAGCUUGUACAUUCUGAGCCAAUGACUGCAUACCUUCACUGCAUGCUGCACAGACUCAUCACUUCCUGCUCUGGACUGCAGACAAUAUUUGCAAUAGCGAUGUGGCAGAGCUAAUUUUCUUUUGGCCAACAAGCCCAUCUUGACAAUUGACGAGAGAUCAAAAAAGGGCAUGGUGUUAAAGAGGACCCAGGCUGGAGAGAAGCAAGAGGCCAGUUCCCUCACCUGUUGGCACACUGCACCAAGAUGUGGGAAGCAUGAGUCACACUGGACUGACUCAGAGGAAGUAUGACUUCACGAAAUACUCACGGAGUCGGGGACUUGGGGGGCUCAUCCUCCACAGUGCUGGGAACCAAGAAAACAUUGGCCUCUGGGCAACCAUUUCUCGAUUCCAGGAUCUUUUGUGGAGAUUUGCUUAAUGUCAGUGGGUCUGUUCACUGUUUCUACAACUAGGCACCUGAACUAAAGCACUAAGCCAGAUAAAAAUGUAUUUAACUAUUAUUCAAAUCCAAGGUAGGGGCACCU
Long non-coding RNA from Lynx canadensis (Canada lynx), 649 nucleotides. RefSeq lists it as uncharacterized. NCBI's taxonomy places the organism in Eukaryota, Metazoa, Chordata, Mammalia, Carnivora, Felidae. The record is from RefSeq and is a predicted model, not a curated record. The transcript has 5 exons.